Small nuclear RNA from Saimiri boliviensis boliviensis (Bolivian squirrel monkey), 107 nucleotides. The record is from Ensembl. NCBI's taxonomy places the organism in Eukaryota, Metazoa, Chordata, Mammalia, Primates, Cebidae.
GGGCUUACUGUGGCAGCACAUAUACUAAAAUCAGAACAAUACAGAGAAGAUUAGCACGGCCCCUGGGCAAAGAUGACAUGCAAAUUCAUGAAGUCUUCCAUAUUUUU